Molecule: long non-coding RNA, 667 nt
Filed under: Homo sapiens (human)
Lineage: Eukaryota; Metazoa; Chordata; Mammalia; Primates; Hominidae
Description: HSALNT0330245
Source: RNAcentral
AGAUGAACCGGAGACUCCUCAGCCCCCAGGUGCAGCAGGAUUCCAGCUGGUCCAGAAGAAACAAGUGCAGCUGCAUAAAAAAUGUUUUCCCAAUUUCACUGAUGGAAAAACAAGGAUGGUGAAGCAGUUAGUGACAGAACCAGGGCUGGAACCCGCCACUCCUGACUCCAAACUCCUGGCGCCUUCUACACGGGGCCUCGAGAAAAGCGGGACAGGUAAGUGCAAAGACCCAAACCCAGCGCAGCGCCCAAGCAGGUGCUCAGGCCCGGGCGCUGAACCCUGACGCUGGGCCUGGAGAGCCAGGAGGUGGCAGUCUGCCCGAGGAGGAGGCUUCCCGAGAAGGCAAGGGCAGCGGACCCGGAGAGAAGCCAGUCUCCGAGUGGGGCUGGGGUUCGCCCACCCAAGCUCCGCCUCCCCCAGGCCCAAAAUUCUGUGCACUAGGAGGCUCGAACUUAAGAGCUGACAGCAGGAGAAAAAGGAGGGGGUGAGGGCAAGAAAUACAAAAGUGAUGAAAAGGGAGAAAUGGGGAGGAGAGACCGGACAUAAAGAAGAACGUUGGGAGCCCGGGGAAAGGGGCCGCACUAGAGGUAGGUCGCGAAUCCGAAGAGCUCCGCUCUGCCAGAGCCCCACAAACAAUCCCCCGGUGGCCCCACUCACCCCAGAUGGC